UCCGGUUUGUCACCGGCAGUUUCAUUAAAGUGCCCAACUGAAUGAUGGCAAUUAAUGACAAGGGUUGCGCUCGUUGCGGGACUUAACCCAACAUCUCACGACACGAGCUGACGACAGCCAUGCAGCACCCGUGUUACCGUUCCCUUUCGGGCACACUCACCUCUCGGCGAGCUUCGGUACAUGUCAAGGGUAGGUAAGGUUUUUCGCGUUGCAUCGAAUUAAUCCACAUAAUCCACCGCUUGUGCGGGUCCCCGUCAAUUCCUUUGAGUUUUAAUCUUGCGACCGUACUCCCCAGGCGGUCAACUUCACGCGUUAGCUACGGCACGGGAUCCGUUGAUAAGACCCCACACCUAGUGCCCAACGUUUACGGCGUGGACUAC
This 380-nucleotide unclassified non-coding RNA is filed under the name uncultured Gammaproteobacteria bacterium. Its description in RNAcentral is "contains 16S-23S intergenic spacer region". The record is from RNAcentral. Lineage: Bacteria; Pseudomonadati; Pseudomonadota; Gammaproteobacteria.